AUUGUGAAUGUCUGGUCAUUAGAUAUUUGCAUCACAAAAAGUCUGGAAGCUAUAGUUAACCUGGAAAAGCAUAGCUCUGAACUGGAAACAGAGAGAACCUACAGCAAAAUGUAAAUGUGAACUCAUCUUAGUGAAGAGGUGAAGCACUGUUUUGUAAAGAAAAGCACGCAGCAGCCCCUGGAGCCAUGGCCCUGUUGAUUAAGGCACUAGCUGAACUUUCUUUGUAGCAAGGUCUGUAGGUGCUUUUAAUUUAAAUAUAAUAAAAGGAAAUUAGGCAGUUAUCAAGACUAUUUCUGUUUUCCAGCAACGAAAAGAAGAAGCAAGCCUUGUUAUUUGAGCGUUUUCUUCUCACUCCACGUGGAGAUAUUUAAUAAGUCUUGUGGCUGAUUUUUCUUUUAUGAAGUGGUCCUUAUUUUCCAGAUUUUACACUCAAAGAGAUAUACUUUGUUCAGUUCUUCUAGACCAAUGCUAGACUGCUUCCUAGCCAUAGAUAGGGAUUCUUUGAAAUUGUUUUCAAAGCCCAGUGCUGACUGAAACUAUUUUAGGUCUUGUCUUUGCUACCUUGGCCCUAUCUGAAAGGAAGAAGUUUGCCCUUGAAAGAGAGCUAAACUGCUGUGAUUCACCGACUUGGAAGAAUUGCAGGAUGCUGACUGCCUGAAGUGGUGCCUCCCACUGGACCAGUGCAAGUUUCCUUCCUUCUUGUCUGACCAAGCCAUUAAGAAGUUAGUCAGUUCCCUGAAGGUUACUUCCAAGGAAUCUCCAAAAAGGAAAUAUCCAGCCCUGGAAAGGACACAGAAAGUGCUGCGGAGGCCACCAACAGAUGACAGGAGUGUGAGAACCUAUGCUCUAGAAGAGGAUUAUGUUCCUUUUGCUUUUAAUAAUGGUGAGUUAAAUUCUUGCUGUGUCUUCUGUGAUUUUUCUCUGAUUUUAUG
Molecule: long non-coding RNA, 932 nt
Filed under: Coturnix japonica (Japanese quail)
Lineage: Eukaryota; Metazoa; Chordata; Aves; Galliformes; Phasianidae
Description: lncRNA (ENSCJPG00005020617.1)
Source: RNAcentral